Molecule: ribosomal RNA, 254 nt
Filed under: uncultured bacterium
Lineage: Bacteria
Description: partial 16S ribosomal RNA
Rfam family: Bacterial small subunit ribosomal RNA
Source: RNAcentral
UACGUAGGGUGCGAGCGUUGUCCGGAAUUACUGGGCGUAAAGAGUUCGUAGGCGGUUUGUCGCGUCGUUCGUGAAAACUUGGGGCUUAACUCCAAGCGUGCGGGCGAUACGGGCAGACUUGAGUACUACAGGGGAGACUGGAAUUCCUGGUGUAGCGGUGAAAUGCGCAGAUAUCAGGAGGAACACCGGUGGCGAAGGCAGUGUCCUGGGGAGUACCUGACGCUCGAGGUGCGAAAGCCAGGGGAGCGAACGGG